GCAAGCUAUCCCUCGCUGCUAAGCUAUCCCUCGCUGGCUAUCUCUCACUGCUAAGCUAUCCCUCACUACUAAGCUAUCUAUCGCUGCUAAUCUAUCUAUCGCUGCCAAUUUAUCUACCGCUGCCAAUCUAUCCCUCACUGCUAAGCUAUCCCUCGCUGCUAAGCUAUCACUGCCAAUCUAUCGCUGCUAAUCUAUCGCUGCCAACCCAUCUACCGCGGCGAAUCUAUCUAUCGCUGCCAAUUCAUCCACCACUGCCAAUCUAUCUAUCGCUGCCAAUCUAUUGCUGCUAAUCUAUCGCUGCUAAUCUAUCGCUGCUGCCAAUCUAUCUAUCGCUGCUAAUCUAUCGCCGCUGCCAAUCUAUCCCUCGCUGCUAAGCUAUCCUUCGCUGCUAAGCUAUCCCUCACUGCUAAGCUAUCUCUCACUGCUAAGCUAUCCCUCGCUGCUAAGCUAUCCCUCGCUGCUAAGCUAUCCCUCACUACUAAGCUAUCUAUCACUGCUAAUCUAUCGCUGCCAACCUAUCUAUCACUGCCAAUCUAUCUAUCGCUGCUAAUCUAUCGCUGCUAAUCUAUCACUGCUAAUCUAUCGCUGCCAACCUAUCUAUCGCUGCCAAUUUAUCCACCAC
RNAcentral lists this small RNA (622 nucleotides) under Histoplasma ohiense. Its description in RNAcentral is "hypothetical lncRNA". The record is from RNAcentral. Lineage: Eukaryota; Fungi; Ascomycota; Eurotiomycetes; Onygenales; Ajellomycetaceae.